AAGACUAUAGACCUGCGGAGUACCUGCGGAGGGAUCAUUACAGAGUUGCAAAACUCCCAAACCAUUGUGAACGUUACCUUCUCGUUGCUUCGGCGGGCGGCCCGGGUCCUUCCCGGCGCCCCCCGGCCCCUCGCGGGCGCCCGCCGGAGGUAAACCAAACUCUUGAAUUGUAUGGCCUCUCUGAGUCUUCUGUACUGAAUAAGUCAAAACUUUUAGCAAUGGAUCUCUAGAUCGGAAGAG
This 240-nucleotide unclassified non-coding RNA is filed under the name soil metagenome. RNAcentral describes it as "partial contains 5.8S ribosomal RNA, internal transcribed spacer 2, and large subunit ribosomal RNA". The record is from RNAcentral.